UACAUAGGGGGCAAGCGUUGUCCGGAAUUACUGGGCGUAAAGGGCGCGUAGGCGGCCGCCUAAGUCAGACGUGAAAUCCCUCGGCUCAACCCGGGAACUGCGUCUGAUACUGGGUGGCUUGAAUUCGGGAGAGGGAUGCGGAAUUCCAGGUGUAGCGGUGAAAUGCGUAGAUAUCUGGAGGAACACCGGUGGCGAAGGCGGCGUUCUGGACUGCAACUGACACUGAGAAACGAAAGCCAGGGGAGCAAACGGG
RNAcentral lists this ribosomal RNA (253 nucleotides) under uncultured bacterium. RNAcentral's name for it is "partial 16S ribosomal RNA". It matches the Rfam family "Bacterial small subunit ribosomal RNA", at positions 524 to 776 of the family's 1533-position model. The record is from RNAcentral.